UCCUGCUGUUAACAGGCCGUAGUGUUUAACUAAUCACCUAUCUGAACGAUCAGGCCAGUGCUGCUUCCUCAAUAAAGUUUAUCAUUCUCACGUGUUUUAAGCCUUGUCAGUUUAAACAUUAAAGUGUUUUAAGCCAUUCAAGCAUGAGACAACACGAAAUAGAUUUAAAUACAGUACUUACACGCUGUGAUAGACCUUUUCUGAAAGAAAUUUAAAUGCGGUACUCAGGCGUUGUGAUAGAUAGUUUCUGUUCGCGCCGAUGGUGCCGCACACACACAAAAAGCCACAGCUCGGCUAGGACAGCACACACAGUAGCGAUCAUGGUGGUCAUACAGUUACCGCCCAAACUGUCUCUAAGCACAGAGGUCAUCAUGGAAUUGCGACCCAGCCAGAUCCACCAGGUGCAGCUUCGAGUGCCGUACCAUGGCUGAGCCCAGUUCUUUGCUACACAGGUGAAUGGUAAAGAUGCAGUGAGACCGUGUAGAAGCCUG
Molecule: long non-coding RNA, 491 nt
Organism: Onychostoma macrolepis
Lineage: Eukaryota; Metazoa; Chordata; Actinopteri; Cypriniformes; Cyprinidae
Exons: 3
Source: RefSeq, a predicted model, not a curated record